UUUAAGAGUAAGAUUCAGAUAAAAAUGUUUUCCUAAUGAGUAGUAUGCUUUGGUAUAGUAUUAUUACAGGAAAGACCAAAAUUCCAAUCAUCCUUGCUAAAUUGUACGUCUGCUAACUUCAGCUAUUUGAGAUUUUUUUUUAAAAAAAAGUUAAACCAUUUCUGAGUAACAUAAGAAGUAUGCGCAGUUCCCUUGUGCACGGAAAUGAAAAUGUGAUCUAUUCAUUCCAUCUUAUUUCAAAUUAUUUAGAAAAUUAGGUGAGUCUGAUGAUUCAUGAAACAAACUUUAAAAUUAUGUUCAAUACAGCAUAUUGUACUCUUCGUGAUUGUGAUAAUAAUCAUUAUCAUUUUUGAGUACUGGCUUUUAUGUACUACAUUUAUAAUUCUCACAAGAAUUCACCUAAAAGUACUUUUAUCUAAUGUGUUCAUCAUUUGCCCAAGACUAACCACAAAAAGACAGGACCAAGAAUCAAACUAUGUCUAACACCAAAUCCUGAUCUCUGUUCCUGAAUCAAUGACAUUUAAACUGUUUUGUAGAAUCACUGUAUUUUAUACCAUGACCUCACUAUCAUGCUGUCAAUCAAGCAUUGUGAAGAAACUGAGAUUCUCUUUGUUAUUUUUUUUAUUAAGAGGGAGGCAGGAGGGGCAGCGGGAGAAGGAGAGAGAGAAUCUCAAGCAGGCUCCACACCCAUCACGGUGCUCAACACAGGGCUUAAUCUCAUGACCCCAGGAUCAUGACCUGAACCAAAAUCGAGUCAGACACUUAACCAAUUGAGCCACCCGGGUGCCCUAAGAACACUAAGAUUCUAAAUUACUAAGGCCAGAAAUAUUCUAGUGAAGCAAUUCUCAUAACCAUUUAGUGGGAAAGGAUACUAAUUGGGUAUUAGGGGGUAAAAACUCUCUUAAAAAGUUCCAUCAGGGCAGCCCAAGUGGCUCAGUGGUUUAGUGCCACCUUCAGCCCAGGGUGUGAUCCUGGAGACCCAGGAUCAAGUCCCGCUUCGGGGCCCCCUGCAUGGGGCCUGCUUCUCUGCCUGUGUCUCUGUCUCUGUCUCUCUCUUUUUCAUUAAAUAAAUAAAAUCUUUAAAAAAAUUCCAUCAGCCAGGAUCUCCAAAUUCCACAGAUGUUUAAUUCUCCUUCCCAUGGUUUACCUCUUCAACUGGGUUCUAGAAUCACCUACUGACACCAAGCUGAGUCCUCAGACCAGGAGCUUGGGUGCUUGUUAGAAAUGCCUAAUCUCAGGCCCUAUAUCUAAUGACUGAAUUAGAAUCUCUAUUUUGACAAGAUCUGGCAUCUAUGCUCAUUCAAAUUUGAAAUGCUCUGCUAGAUGACACAUAUCUUAUCCCCUGCCCCCCAUUAGAUCCCUCAGUCAUCCCAUUUCUUACCUGUGUUCUCAACUUCUCUCUGCUGUUUUUUGUUUGCUAUUGUUUACCCUCACAUAGAAAUACUUUUUAAAAAGUCCUCUGCUGAUCCUGCCUCCACACACCUAAGACCUCAUUUCUCUUUUCUCAACCAUGUGCCUUGAAGGAAGUGUCUGUCCUUCCUGAAUCUCUAUCUUUGCCUCCUGUUUGUAUCUUAACCCACUGCAAGAUAGUUUAAUUAUGCACCAAGUAUCAUCUGGCCCUCUACUACAUGCCAAACGUUGUAACAGACUAUGAGGAUAAACUGGUGUGCAAGAGACACAGUCCUUUUAUUCAAAUGACUGUCUCUGAAAUUCUUUUGACAGAUAACCAACUCACCCUCUAAAUUACCAAUUCCACUUUUCAUGCACUAUCAGAUAGGAGGAUUCAGUGGUCUUCCAUAAAUCAAAGAUUAAAGAGAUUUUGCAAAAAUGUAGAAUACUGCUGCUCUUCUUUUUAAAGAAAAUAUUUUAAUAUGGUUCUUAUUUUAACAUAUGAUGAACUUAUUUUUAUUUUAAAAUUAAUUAAUAUUCUGAAAAUGUGUUUUCAUCUCCAGUAUUUGUAGGUCAACAGAUAUCCCUACAAAAGUUUGCUCUCAGGGCAUUGGGUAGCUCUGUGGUUGAGUGUCUGCCUUUGGCUCAGCUCAUGAUCCAGGGCUCCUGGGAUCAGGUCCUGCAUUAGGCUCCUCCUCCCAGGGAGCCUGCUUCUCCCUCUGCCUCUCUCUCUGUCUCUCAUGAAUAAAAAAAAAUAAAAUCUUAAAAAAAAAAUUCUCUCUUUUGGCCUCUCAAUAAUUUUUAAGAAUGUGAAGUGGUUUCUGAGACUGAAAAGUUUGAGAACAACUAGAUCUCAUUUUGAAACCAGGUGAGUUGCUCAACAAAUUGCUAAAAUCUACAUAGAUAUCAACUAUACAAUUAAUAUUGGAGGGAUAUGAAUAAAUUGGCCUAAGCAUUUUCUAUCCUAUAUUUCUUAACUAAGCUAAAGAUGUCAUUUUCUCUAGGCAUUUCACGCACAGGAAGAAAGCAAUAGUUGACCACUAGCCCUGAAAAGCUGAAAGUCUGUUGCACCUGAGUGGCUCAGUCAGUUAAGUGUCUUUCUUGGGCUUUGGUUAUGAUUCUGGGGUCCUGGAAUCAAGCCCCUUGUCAGACUCCCUGCUCAGUAAGGAGCUUGCUUCUCUUUCUCUUUCUCCUACCCGCCUCUUCCCCACCCAGUACAUGCUAUCUCUCUUGCUGUAUCUCAAAUAAAUAAAUAAAAUAUAUUUUUUAAAACCCCAAAAUUAAAAGCUUUCGUAGGAAUAUUUUUAGUAUCUGAGAUACAUGCUCUUUGUUCCCUGAAAAUGGAAAACAAGGUAAAAACUAAAACAGUAAGGAGAAUAGUUGGCUUUAAACAUUCCUUCUGUCUUUAUUUUGCCCACAAGCAAUAUUUUCUAAAGUUCUUAAAAUCAGUACCAGUAUGCUCUUAUCUUGAAUAUCAGACUAUGGCUUUAAGAGCAAUUCUAUUUAUCACAUUAAAAUGAAGAAAUAUUUAAGGCAUUUGCAUUUUGUUUAUAAAAGAAAUCAAUUUCUCAGAAGAAUGCAUAUUUUCAAUUAUACCCAGACCUGAAAUAUCAUGCUUUGGUCUCCACAGUAAAAAUACGAAACAAUGUAAUAUUCCCAUUAACUGUGUACACUAUUAUCAAUAUAUAUAGUUAUUUAGUGGCAGAGAAGGACAGGAGGAACUUUUUCCAAGUACCUUGUACUGGAGGCAGAAUAAAGAAAAAUAACUUGGGGAUCCCUGGGUGGCUCAGUGGUUUCAUGCCUGCUUUUGGCCCAGGGCGCGAUCCUGGAAUCCCGGGAUCAAGUCCCGCAUCUGGCUCCCGGUAAGGAGCCUGCUUCUCCCUCUGCCUGUGUCUCUGCGCCUCUCUCUCUUUAUGUCUAUCAUAAAUAAAUAAAAAUAAAUCU
Molecule: long non-coding RNA, 3333 nt
Filed under: Canis lupus familiaris (dog)
Lineage: Eukaryota; Metazoa; Chordata; Mammalia; Carnivora; Canidae
Description: lncRNA (ENSCAFG00000058646.1)
Source: RNAcentral